AUACGGAGGAUCCGAGCGUUAUCCGGAUUUAUUGGGUUUAAAGGGUGCGCAGGCGGGAGAUUAAGUCGGCGGUGAAAUUUUGCAGCUCAACUGUAAAAGUGCCUUCGAAACUGGUUUCCUUGAGUGUAGAUGAAGUAGGCGGAAUUUGUGGUGUAGCGGUGAAAUGCAUAGAUAUCACGAGGAACUCCGAUUGCGCAGGCAGCUUACUAAACUACUACUGACGCUUAGGCACGAAGGCGUGGGGAUCAAACAGGAUUAGAUACCCUGGUAGUCCACGCAGUAAACGAUGAUUACUAGCUGUUUGCGAUACAAUGUAAGCGGCUGAGCGAAAGCGUUAAGUAAUCCACCUGGGGAGUACGUUCGCAAGAAUGAAACUCAAAUGAAUUGACGGGG
Molecule: ribosomal RNA, 393 nt
Filed under: uncultured bacterium
Lineage: Bacteria
Description: partial 16S ribosomal RNA
Rfam family: Bacterial small subunit ribosomal RNA
Source: RNAcentral